AACGUUCGACUCGCAACAUUGCUGAGCUGCAGUUCGACUCAAGCCAGGGAACGGGGACUUGA
Molecule: non-coding RNA, 62 nt
Filed under: uncultured Prochlorococcus sp.
Lineage: Bacteria; Bacillati; Cyanobacteriota; Cyanophyceae; Synechococcales; Prochlorococcaceae
Description: Glutamine-II riboswitch (downstream peptide RNA)
Rfam family: Glutamine-II riboswitch aptamer
About the family: The major groove of the PK provides the binding site for L-glutamine
Source: RNAcentral